Mesocricetus auratus (golden hamster) is the source of this 3876-nucleotide long non-coding RNA. RefSeq lists it as uncharacterized. The record is from RefSeq and is a predicted model, not a curated record. The transcript has 3 exons. NCBI's taxonomy places the organism in Eukaryota, Metazoa, Chordata, Mammalia, Rodentia, Cricetidae.
CCCCCGAACUUCAUCCAGCAGGCGCUGCAAACGCCUGCUGGAGACUUUACGAAACUCCGGGCGGCGGUACCGCUUCCCCAGCCCGGUGGCAAGAACUAGCGCACUCCGAGACUGCGGCGCCCGGGGGCGCGGGGGUGGGGGAACCAGCCGGACACGGUGGCGCGCGGCACCGUCUCAUCCCAGAGAUUCUGUGUAGAUCGAGGGCCGCGAGGCGCCAGCUGCAUCUACCUCCAGAACCCGAGGCUUUCUACCGAGAGGGACCGGCAGGAGAGCGCGCCCAGGACCCGGACAGGGGCGGCUCGGAGGGUGUCCGGCUGGGACGGGUACCCCCUCCAGAGCUUGAAGGGGAUGUAGCUUCGGCCCCUAAGACUGCAUUGAUUCUUAGCGCAGAGUCGGUUCCUCGAGUGGGCGGACCCCCUCCUCCUCCAGCACCGCAGCAGCUUCGCCACCACCCCUUCUUUUUCCACCGGAGUUCUUCCUCUGUCUCCGAAGCCAGGCAUCAGAGGUCCAGAAGGUGGUGAAGACUGUUUUCAUCCCAGAAUCCUUGACAAGCCUGGCACCUGAGAAACGUCAACGAGAGCUCCCACGAGUGCUGGAUGAAGUGACAAAAUCCCCUGUCCUUGGGGAAGUGGGGAGUAGGCCCUCCUGAGAGGAGGUGCGAGUCAACAGCAGAUGACUGUGUGCAAAUGUUGCUCCCCACUGUCUUUGCCACGCAGCGUCUCUGGCCCAGACCCUGUGCUGUGUGCCAGACACUUACCUAAGCAUGAAACAGUGACUGGUGGGAGCUAACUGGUCAGAUUUUCUUUCCUCCUGGGAGUCUGAACUUUAUCCGGAGGUGAGAGGUAACCCUUCCCCACUUGACUGUCCCCGGGGAGAAUGUCAGUGGGUACCAAGAACCAUAGUUCCUGAAGCCUGCACCGUUGCUUUCCCUCCGAAGACCUAUGCUAUUGAUUAGAAGUCUCCAGAUCUGCCCAACUCAUGUUCUGGGCAGUGGCUUGAGCCAGCCUGGGUUAGUUCGUGUUGCUUGCCAGCAAAGGAGGCUUAAACACCUUCCCACAUGAUGUAGAUGUGCCACUGUCACCCAGAUACAGGAGAAGACAAGGAACUGGCAUUUCUGGAGCCCUGAGAGCCUCCUGCUGCCAGCCUCGGACUUUCCGGGUGAGGUGGGGGUACAGAGCACAGGAUGGCCCUCGCCUUGACGCCAAUGGAGGUGGAGCCUUUCUAAGGUGGGAAAGAAAUGGUCACUGGGGGCGUGCCAUUGACUGCGACUCUGCUCCCCGCUCCCUCCUUCAGCUGCUUCCUCAUAAAGUAAGCAACUUCCUCAGCCACAUCCUCCCACCAUCUUGUAUUCCUCACCAUAGGCCCAAAGCAAUGGAUCCCAGUGAGCCAUGAACAGAAACCUCUGAAAAUAAAGCGAUUUCCCUAUUUCCUUUUAUUUUUUAAGUCAGUUAUCUCAGGCAUUUUAUCACUGUGACAAAAAACUAAUAAGCACACAAGGACUGUGCCAGUCAGAGUGGGUUAGGUUAAGAUGUCUGUUUUACUCAGUGCUAUGAAGAGACACCAUAACCACAGCAGCUCUUAUAAAGGAAAACAUUUAAUUGGCUUGCUUACAGGUUCAGAGAUUAUUAACCCAUUGUCAUCACUGACAUACAGGUAGAUGUGGUCGUGGAGGAGCUGAGAGUUCUAUAUCUGGAUCUACAGAACAGAGAGAGAGACAGAGACAGAGACAGAGACAGAGAGAGACAGAGACAGAGAGAGGCAGAGAGAGACAGAGAGAGACAGAGAGACAGAGAGAGAGAGAGAGACUGGCCUGGCUUGAGUGUUCGAAACCCCAAUGCCCACCCCCAAUGCCCACUUUCUCCAACAAGGCCACACCUCCUAAUAGCACCAGCCCAUAAUGACCAUACAUUGAAAUCCAUGAGUCUCUGGGGCCAUUCUUAUUCAAACCGCCACACUGUAGUAACAAGCAGCCCUAAUCUAAGAGUCAAGGCCAGAGUGCAUUCACCAAAAGCUCACUUUCUAGUCAUCCUCAUACUAAGGUGGUAGAGUGACCCCUUUGGGAAAUUGCGUGUUGGUUGGUUAGUGGGCUUUGUUGACAACAGGAAAGAGGAAUGUGGCCUUUAGCCCUCCAUCACAGGAACCUCAGGGCAAUGUGUAGCGAUUCCUAAUCACCUCUCAGCCCAAAUAACUAAAGAUUCUUGUGAUGUGAAAAUUGCACAGGCAGCUACUUCUCCUCACCCCAAGGGGGAUGCUCUCACUUUGUCACGUGAGAAAACUGACACCCAGAGGAAGGACAUGCUCCCUUUUCUUAGGAAGCCUGGAAUUCUGUCACACAGCUUAAGACUUUGUCUCCUGUUACCUGUAGGGUCUCUGAUGGAGGCAACACAUUCAAGGUCCCCAUGUGGAUUCCCUCGACAGAGACCAAUUCCAGUACAGUGAAGUUCAUGCCAGGUUCUGGGCAAGCCGAGGAUGUCGGCAAAAGUGAAAAGACCCUCCAAUUAACACCAGGUGCUCCUUCCCUCUGGGAUGAUUUUGUCGGCUAACUCAUGCCAGGAUGCUCACACAUUCCUCCAAUCUAUCUAGGAAACAGGCAGUUGGCCAAAUUCUGGACCUCCCAGGCUAGCACGUGGCCAGUUUGUGUAUGGUUGAGCACUAGGUUCAGUGAUGACAUUCCAGUCUCUAAGAAUUAAACUUGUUUUUUUUUUAAUGCAUGGUGUUCAUGGUGAUUCAAAGGAGGAAGUCUCUGUAGAGACGCUAAAAGGGCUCUGACCUAACCGGCUCCAGGCUGAGCGCAUUUUGACAUGCCAAGUAUGAUGCUUGAGUGCUCUGGCUGCGUUAAGAGAAUCUGACAAGAAAGCACAGACUGUAAGGCUGGGGGCAGAGUCAGGGCAGCGGGGUGUCCUGAUGGAUCCGCCGGCCACGUUGGAGGGCCAGAGCCACAGGGAGAAGCUGGGGAGGGCCGACCAGGAGCACCAAGCAAAACCUGCCAGAAUAUUCUUCCCUGAGAAGACACUAAGUGAACGGUUGAGACGGAAUAAGGAAGUGUGGUCUUUUGUGAAGACCCAAGCAAGGAGGGAUAUUAGACACAGAAGAACUAGAUGCGAGAGGGGCUAACAUUACAGCGGACCUGACAGCAAAGAGAGACUGAAGGAAACAUGUCUGCCUUGAUCUGGGCUCUGUGUGGAAAAGCAUCGGCCUUGCCCAAGACCCUGGCACCACAGACUCCUUCCUCGCUGCCUGGAGUUCAAGUGAGGGCUGCUUACGUGAUGCGGAAAACCCCAAACAAGACAUUUGUCUCAAGUAGGGCCAGGCUAGUAGUACCCUGGGGUGAGAAUAUUAGAUCUUUUUGGAGUAAGAUCAUAACCCAGACCUCCCAGGGGGAAGAAAGCCAGGGGUGAACAUGAGCUCACAACCCACAGUUACAGGGUUCAGGAGAAGGUGAACCUCCCGGGCAGAUCCCAGCGGAAAGAACCCACAGCAGGACUAACUGUCAGGGGAUAUUAGACACUGGCCAGGCAUGUUCAGACUAGAAGGUGAGUAUAGUUCAAGUCCCCAAAACUGUAAACAGUUUUUCACAAGCUUGAACUUGUGUCAGGCUCACUGAAACUUUUUGGGGGUCACAAGUGAAUUUCCUCCCUCUCCCUUCCUCUCUUCUCUCCUCUUCCUCCUCCCCCUCUUUCUUCUCUCCCUCCCUUUCUCCUUUCCCAUUUACCUGUCUCUGUCUGACAAUGCGCAAAUCCAGGAGAGUAUGCAACUAGUAAAAACAGAAAAUUUGGGUCACCUUCCUACAAAAUUCAGUGUUUGUUUCUUGCUCUAUAUUACACUUGUUUCUCAAAUGCAUUUUGUGGUGGUGAUGGUGGUAGUGGGGUGUGUGUG